This 393-nucleotide unclassified non-coding RNA is filed under the name soil metagenome. RNAcentral's name for it is "partial contains 5.8S ribosomal RNA, internal transcribed spacer 2, and large subunit ribosomal RNA". The stretch from base 4 to 120 matches the Rfam family "5.8S ribosomal RNA", at positions 40 to 154 of the family's 154-position model. The record is from RNAcentral.
GAUGGAACGCAGCGAAAUGCGAUACUUGGUGUGAAUUGCAGAAUCCCGUGAACCAUCGAGUCUUUGAACGCAAGUUGCGCCCGAAGCCAUCAGGUUGAGGGCACGUCUGCCUGGGCGUCACAUAUCGUUGCCCAAUGCCUAUUGCAGUGCAAUAGGAAUUUCUAGGGCGAAUGAUGGCUUCCCGUGAGCGUUGUUGCCUCGCGGUUGGUUGAAAAUCGAGUCCUUGGUAGGGUGUGCCAUGGUAGAUGGUGGUCGAGUUAGAACGAUACCGAUCAUGUGCAUGCUCCCCAAAAUAUGGCCUCUAUGACCCACACGCGUCUUUUGACGCUCAUGACGAGACCUCAGGUCAGGCGGGGCUACCCGCUGAAUUUAAGCAUAUCAAUAAGCGGAGGA